UAGGGAAUUUUGCGCAAUGGGGGAAACCCUGACGCAGCAACACCGCGUGAAUGUUAAGCCCUUCGGGGUGUAGAGUUCUGUCAGUAGGGACGAAUUUUGACUGUACCUACAAAGGAAGCACCGGCUAACUCCGUGCCAGCAGCCGCGGUAAUACGUAGGGGGCAAGCGUUGUCCGGAAUGACUGGGCGUAAAGGGCGCGUAGGCGGCCUGAUAAGUCUGGAGUGAAAGUCCUGCUUUUAAGGUGGGAAUUGCUUUGGAGACUGUCGGGCUUGAGUGCAGAAGAGGUAAGUGGAAUUCCCAGUGUAGCGGUGAAAUGCUUAGAUAUCACGAAGAACUCCAAUUGCGAAGGCAGCUUGCUGGACUGUAACUGACGCUGAUGCUCGAAAGUGUGGGUAUCAAACA
RNAcentral lists this ribosomal RNA (402 nucleotides) under uncultured bacterium. RNAcentral describes it as "bacterial SSU rRNA". It matches the Rfam family "Bacterial small subunit ribosomal RNA", at positions 355 to 774 of the family's 1533-position model. The record is from RNAcentral.